Long non-coding RNA from Lathyrus oleraceus (garden pea), 1846 nucleotides. RefSeq lists it as uncharacterized. The record is from RefSeq and is a predicted model, not a curated record. The transcript is spliced from 2 exons. NCBI's taxonomy places the organism in Eukaryota, Viridiplantae, Streptophyta, Magnoliopsida, Fabales, Fabaceae.
UAUAUAUAUAUAUAUUGAAUUUUAAAAAAAAAUUCUUUCUUCUUCAAUGUGUUUUUUCAUAGUGAAAAACUAACCUGAUCUUUAAAAUCAAAUUCAACUUAUCAAUAAGAUUUCAACCAUUAAUUUAAAUUAACAUAAAUGAAUAUAAUAUUAUGUUUACCUUAUUUUCUUUUAUAGUAUCACUAUCCUAUUUUAUCUAUUUUUCUUUAAUGAUUAUUAUGUAUGAAUAAUUUUUUAUAGAAAGUUUUCGAUUUAAGAAAGAAUAGAACAAACUAUAUAUAUUUCUAAGAGAGAACCAUUUCCCUACAAAUCAAAUAUAAGUAAGGGUUCGAUGAUUUUGGAAGUUUCUAUUUUGUCCUUAAUAUUUAUGUGUCACCCAACCAAUCUUCUUUUCUUUGUCAAAACUCUCUCUCUCUUAUUACAUUCACUCGUCUUCUAUUUUUUUUCCUUAUGUUUCCAACUUUUUUCUCUUUCACUUCAUUUUUUUCUUCAAUCGAAAUUUCUCUCUUAUAUCAAACUCUCUGUCUUUCUCUUUCUCAUCACCACUUUUUCCACGGUCAUUUCAACUUCUUUUUCAACUUUUUUCCUUCUGAUUUGUCAUACGGUUGUGUUUUGCAGAUCCAUUCAAAAUUGUUCAUUUUCAUCAAGAAAAUAAUAAAGAAUAAGAAUAGGUCUAAUAAAAGUUGUUUAUCUUUAUCAAGAAAAAAAUAAAGAACAAGAGUAGGUGAAGGAUUUUGUCUUGAUUUCAACCAUUUUGUCUUGAUUUUUCAUGAUUUCUACUUUACUUAUUUGAUCCUGUAUUUUUUUUUAUUUGAAAAAUUUGUGUUUGACAUUUUUUUUUUGAAUUUUGAUGAUUGUCGGUGAAGGAUUUCUAGGUUGAAAAGAAGGUUGGUGAUAUUCUAGAAGAUAAGAAGAAUGCAAUGAAGAUUAUGGAUAAAUAAGUUUAAGUUUUUUGUGAAGUUAGGACUUGAAGUUGAAGAUAUACUCCAUUUAAAAAUAUACUCUAUUCUAUUUUUAAUUUUAUCAACCAUUCUCUUGAUUUUUCAUGAUUUCGACUUUACUAAUUUGAUCCUGUAAUAAUAUUUUUUUUAAGUUGAAAAAUUUGUAUUUGACAUUCUUUUUGAAUUUUGAUGAUUGUCAAUUUCUAGGUCGAAAAGAAGGUUGAUGAUCUUCUUGAAGAUAAGAAGAAUGCAAUGAAGAUUCUGGAUAAAUGAGUUUAAGUUUUUUUGUAAAGUUAGGACUUGAAGUUGAAGAUAUACUCCAUUUAAAAAUAUACUCCAUUCUAUUUUUAAUUUUAUCAACCAUUCUCUUGAUUUUUCAUGAUUUCGACUUUACUUAUUUGAUCCUGUAAUAAUAUUUUUUUUAAGUUGAAAAAUCUGUAUUUGACUUUUUUUUUUAAAUUUUGAUGAUUGUCGAUUUCUAGGUCGAAAAGAAGGUUGGUGACGUUCUUGAAGAUAAGAAGAAUGCAAUGAAGAUUCUGGAUAAAUGAGUUUAAGUUUUUUUUAAAGUUAGGACUUGAAGUUGAAGAUAUACUCCAUUUAAAAAUAUACUCCAUUCUAUUUUUAAUUUUAUCAACCAUUGCCUUGAUUUUUUAUGAUUUCGACUCUACUUAUUUGAUCCUGUAAUAUUUUUUAAAAAAAAUUGAAGACUAUGUGUUUGACAUUUUUUUUGAAUUUUGAUGAUUGUCGGUGAAGGAUUUCUAGGUCGAAAAGAAGGUUGGUGACGUUCUUGAAGAUAAGAAGAAUGCAAUGAAGAUUUUUUAUAAGUUUAGGUUUUUUGAGUGAAGAAUAAAUGUUGAAACAUUGAAGAGAGAGAAAAUAAAAAGAAUAAUAAAGAUUUUAUUGUA